This 859-nucleotide long non-coding RNA is filed under the name Rattus norvegicus (Norway rat). Its description in RNAcentral is "long non-coding RNA NONRATT009218". The record is from RNAcentral. Lineage: Eukaryota; Metazoa; Chordata; Mammalia; Rodentia; Muridae.
AUUGCUAAGAAGCCUCGAACACCAACCUCGGGUCCAGUGAUCACGAAGCUGAUUUUUGCAAAACCAAUUAAUAGUAAAGCAGUUACGGGACAGACAACUCAAGCGUCUCCACCCGUCGUCACAGGCAGGGUUCUUUCACAGUCUGCUCCUGGAACUCCAUCCAAGACUAUAACAAUAUCAGAAAGUGGUGUUAUUGGCUCAACUUUAAAUUCUACAACACAGACACCAAAUAAGAUAGCCAUCUCACCUUUGAAGUCACCAAAUAAGACAGUGAAGUCGGCUGUGCAGACCAUCACGGUGGGCGGAAUGAGCACGUCGCAGUUUAAGACCAUCAUUCCCCUGGCAGCUGCUCCCAAUGUCCAGCCCAUUCAAGUGCCUGGAAGCAAGUUUCAUUAUGUCCGACUCGUCACUGCCACAACCGCCGGUAGCUCAGCCCCACCAGUCAGUCAGAGUCCCAGUGUCAACACUCAGCCUCUUCAGCAAGGUUUGUGACCGUUCUUUCCACAGUGAUGGGUGCGUUUAGCGUCGUUAAAGAACAUUGCUGCUGCUCAUUUUUCACUCUGGGCUUUCUUUGACAGUAUGGAUGAGUAGUGGUUACAGAAGACAUAGAAGUCAGAUCACAGUUGUAUGUAACUACGAUUUAUUCUAUUUAUUAACUCAAUAAUACCAGGUGAUUGUCAGUAUUGGUUAACUGGGUAGCUGUUUUACUGCUGAAAUCCCCACUGUUUAUCUCAAUGGGACAGAUUCAGUUGGAACCAAAUGAUUUAAAAUUAUAAUUGGGGGUUGGGGAUUUAGCUCAGUGGUAGAGCGCUUGCUAGGCCCUGGGUUCGGUCCCCAGCUCCGAAAAAAAGAAAAAAAA